UACGUAGGGGGCGAGCGUUGUCCGAAGUUACUGGGCGUAAAGAGCGCGUAGGCGGACUCUUAAGUGAGGGGUGAAAGGUUCGGGCUUAACCCGGACACUGCCUUUCAUACUGGGGGUCUUGAGUGCGGGAGAGGCGAGUGGAAUGGUCGGUGUAGCGGUGAAAUGCGUAGAUAUCUGGAGGAACACCGGUGGCGAAGGCGGCAUCCUGGACCGAGAUUGACGCUGAGGCGCGAAAGCUAGGGGAGCAAACAGG
RNAcentral lists this ribosomal RNA (253 nucleotides) under uncultured bacterium. RNAcentral describes it as "partial 16S ribosomal RNA". It matches the Rfam family "Bacterial small subunit ribosomal RNA", at positions 524 to 776 of the family's 1533-position model. The record is from RNAcentral.